AUCUACGUCCAUGUACCCUGAACAAGCUUGAUCCCGUCUGAUCUCAGAAGCUAAGCAGGGUCAGGCCUGGUUAGUAUUUGGAUGGGAGAACACCUAGGAAGACCAGGUGCUGUAGAUG
This is a ribosomal RNA of Pteropus vampyrus (large flying fox), 118 nucleotides long. Lineage: Eukaryota; Metazoa; Chordata; Mammalia; Chiroptera; Pteropodidae. The record is from Ensembl.